This 363-nucleotide unclassified non-coding RNA is filed under the name uncultured bacterium. Its description in RNAcentral is "contains 16S-23S intergenic spacer region". The record is from RNAcentral.
UCCCCCGUGAGGGGGCAGUCUCGCCAGACACUUGUAACUGGCAACGAGGGUUGCGUUCGUUACCCCACUGAAGGGAACGAUUCAAACCACGAACUGACGACAGCCGUGCAUCACCUGUCCUACACCUUCGAAAGCUUCCUCGGUUUCCCGAGGCGUGCAGUAGGAUUUCUAACCCUGGUAAGGUUCUUCGCUUAGCGACGAAUUGAGCCACACGCUCCACCACUUGUGCAAGCUCCCGUCUAUUCCUUUGAGUUUUAGCCUUGCGGCCGUACUACCCAGGCGGAUGACUUAACGCGUUAGCUUCGCCUCCCAGAGGGUCGAUACUCCGAAAAGCCAGUCAUCAUCGUUUAGGGCGUGGACUAC